CUUUACUGUAACCUGGUAUUGGGUUCGGGCUUUGACUGCGCAGGAUAGGUGGGAGACUAUGAAGCAAUCCUUGUGGGGAUUGUGGAGUCAACAGUGAGAUACCACUCUGUCAGAGCUAGAAUUCUAACCUUCACCCGUUAUCCGGGGAAGGAACCGUAUCAGGUGGGCAGUUUGACUGGGGCGGUCGCCUCCUAAAAGGUAACGGAGGCGCGCAAAGGUGUUCUCAGGCUGGUUGGAAAUCAGCCGUAGAGUGUAAAGGCAGAAGAACGCUUGACUGUGAGAGUGACAACUCAAGCAGGUACGAAAGUAGGCCUUAGUGAUCCGACGGCACAGCGUGGAAUGGCCGUCGCUCAACGGAUAAAAGUUA
Molecule: ribosomal RNA, 367 nt
Filed under: uncultured organism
Description: bacterial LSU rRNA
Rfam family: Bacterial large subunit ribosomal RNA
Source: RNAcentral